Non-coding RNA from Poecilia reticulata (guppy), 2861 nucleotides. The record is from RefSeq and is a predicted model, not a curated record. Lineage: Eukaryota; Metazoa; Chordata; Actinopteri; Cyprinodontiformes; Poeciliidae.
CUCUCUUUUGGUUUGUCGUUCCAGUGGUGAGCAAACUUCAUAAAAGGUUCUGACUUUUAACCACUGACGCCCUGCACCCACCGGACAUUUAGCUAAUGCACUAAAUUCAACAUUCACUGCAAGUAAAAUAUGUAUUAUGUUUUAUAAAAAGUAUAUUACCUUAAACAGACACAAAUUUAUUAUUAAACAUUUAGCAGGAGCUUCAGGACGGCAGCCUGGGAUUUUGAUGCUUAAAGAAUCAGGUUAGACUUUAAUCAAGUGUUUGGAGGAUCCAUGUUUCUUUGAGCUGAUAGUUAAUGAUGAAACCUGCAGGUUUGACUGGGCAGCAGCUUUUACUCCAUCCUGAACACCAAGCGUCUGUUUAAGCUGCUUUAAAAGCUUCGUGUCUCUUUCUGCUUCAGCUCCAUGAAACCAAGACGAAUCCAGAUGCUUCAGGUCCUCAUCUUUAGUUCCCUUCGGUGGCGUUUCAACGCUCAGCUGAUACAUGGCUUCCCUUAUCUGUGAAGUCAGGCUGUGAAAUUGUUUUUGACAGAGAGAAAGUCGGUGUUUCCCCUCAGCGACGCUGUGAAACGAGCAGCGGCCGUCCUUCUAAAUGCAGAGCUGCCAUUAUGUAGAGAGUAAUGAAGCGUAGUGAGAGGCGGCGGUGGCAGCAGCAGCAGCAGGGGGCGGUGGAGCCCCGAGACGGCAUUAAUGCUCUCUGUUCCCUGUCAYACUCUGGAUUCACCGACCAGACGAGGCGAGGCAGGAGGAAACCUCAGCAAGACAGAGACCCUGUUUCUCUAUGAAAUGUUAAUAACAGAUUUAAUCCUGUCUGACCCUCUAUGAAGGCUGGAUCUCACUAGUAAAAUGUGAUUCCUAUAUUUAUGUAGAUGAUUAAAUAAGAUCACAACCUUCAUGAACAUUAGCUUAACGGACAAAAAUCUAAAACUAGUUUGAGGAAAGAGAAAAACCCACAGGAGAGACGGUGAAGUUUCAGAGAUGAGCGCUGGAAACAGAUCCUCUUACAGGCUGCUGUCGCCAUGGCAGCAGCCCGCUGAGAUCUUCCCUUCAUCUCUGGCUUUUCUUGGCCUUUUUGUCUUCAGCAUCACGAGGCGACAACAGCGGUUUGCUGGCUGCUGAACGUCUGCAGUGCCGGCUGCUGGUGGCAGCUGCCAGUCAGGCUGCUCAUCGUGGAUCCGGGACCAGACCUCCAUCCGUCUGCUGCAGCGUUCCCUGGACGUCACCGGCUCCAGGGCAGCUGAUUGAAACAACCAUAGACCUGCAGGUCACCGGCUCCAGCCCUAAAUAAACGGAAUAUUAAUGAACGAACAGAAACGUGUGCAGAUUACAGAUGUCCACCCAACGGACAGACCAAAACGGGAACCAAAGGAGCAGCGAGGAAGAGGAGGCCGACCGAACCGGAGCAUAAGGGAGGAGAAGCGUCUCUUUCCCCAGCAGGACGGGUUCAUGUGUCAGGAUGAUGAACCGUUUGACCUUCAGGUCAAGGUCGUCUGAGCAGCACCGGGUCAAACCUGCCAGAGAUUCUGACUCUGUUCUUCUGCUGACCAACGAUAAAACCUUCAUUUAAUCAACAAGGAAAUCCUGUUUACAUUAAUACAGAAACUUUAUUAGUAGCUUUACGUCUUUACAAAAAGAGCUUCAUGUUUGUGGUUUACAGUCUAAAUAUUUCUACCACAACCAUUGAAUAAAAAUAACCAGAUUUAAAAGUCCUUCUUUAAACAUGUAAAAGUACUCGCAUAUUUAACACAUUAUUAUAGACACAUUUAUAUAAACUGUCUUUACAUGAGACACAGUAAUCCAUGACUUUUCCUGUAAAUGAAUAUUUGAACAGGUACAGUGUUUCCACAACGAGUUUAUAUCUCUAUAUGAUGGAGAUGUUAGUCAAACGGCUUUUUCCAGAUGAUGUGAGACGAUAAGCAGAAAACGUCUCCGGCAGCUUCUGCUUUAAGCUAAGCACCGACUUCAGGAACCACAGAUUCAAACCUCACAGCUCUGAUGUUCAUCGGAUUAUUACAUUUCCUCUGGGAGAAGCAGAUGUUGUCUCUGCCUGCAGAUUAAUGCUGGAGCUCCUGGUUGACUCCAGUUGGACAGAGAGACGUUGGGACUCACUGCUGCUUCACAUGACGGGUCAGAGAUGAUUCUGAUUAUUGCAUUUCUGGACCACAUGUGGUGCUCUACGCUUUCUGAAUCUUUUUCAUCUAAAUGAUAAUAAAAAUAAUUGUUUCACCAGAAACUUUAUGGCCUCCUGCAGCUGCAGCAGUAGAGCAGGAAACCUGAAGGAGCUGCAGAGUUUUACUGCGUUUCCCUGCUGAAUAAAACGUUUUUGUGUUCCAAAUGUAAGUUUUGUGAUGAAUGGGGUUCGACGUUGGUAUGGAUGAUCCUCCACACAUUUUGCUGACCGGUUUGUCUGAACGGACUUUGCUGCUCAGACCCAGUUUAACUCCGUCAGGCUCCAGUGAAGUCAGAACCGAAUCCUGACAUGGAGAAAGGUUUUCCCUAAACAUCUGGUUUUACGUCAGAUUCGCUCUAAUUCAUUUCCCUUGUUACUUCUGGACGUCUCUUCAGGUCAACACAUUUCUAACAUUGUUUAGUAAAAACUAGUUUCAAAGAUUUUAGUUUUAUUUGUGCUUCUAAUUAUUUUUUGCCUGAAGCUGCAAAUCUUAACUAAAACAUAGUUAAAUAUUCUGUAGGCGUUUCUUUAUGAAUGGUGAUGAUUGUAAAGUGACGGAUGCUUCAGUAACUCAGCUGGCAGUGGAGAAACAUUUUGGAUUUUAGGCUGUUAUUUUUCUCUCCUCUCGGUCAGAAGGGUCAGAAAUCAUCUGGUUGCCUUCAAGCUGGAGCCAGUUAUGCUAACAUCCAGU